AUUGAACGCUGGCGGCAGGCCUAACACAUGCAAGUCGGGCGAGGGGCGGACGGGUGAGUAAUGUAUGGGGAUCUGCCUGAUGGCUGGGGAUAACUACUGGAAACGGUAGCUAAUCCCGCAAACCAUCAGAUGAACCAAGAUGGGAUUAGCUUGUAGGUGAGGUAACGGCUCACCUAGGCGACGAUCCAUAGCUGGUCGGAGAGGAUGAUCAGCCACACUGGGACUGAGACACGGCCCAGACUCCUACGGGAUGCAGCAGUGGGGAAUAUUGCACAAUGGGUGCAAGCCUGAUGCAGCAAUGCCGCGUGUAUGAAGAAGGCCUUCGGGUUGUAAAGUACUUUCAGUCGGGAGGCGUUACCGACAGAGGAAGCACCGGCUAACUCCGUGCCAGCAGCCGCGGUAAUAC
Molecule: ribosomal RNA, 406 nt
Filed under: uncultured bacterium
Lineage: Bacteria
Description: partial 16S ribosomal RNA
Rfam family: Bacterial small subunit ribosomal RNA
Source: RNAcentral